GUGACGUAUAUUCUACGCGCCGUGGAAAUAUAAAAUUAAAGGUUUCCGUCCGCUUGUUCUUUUCGUCCAGAUGGCUGUACUUGCAAUAAUGUUACGGAAAUGUUUAAUUAUAUUAUCGAUUCAAGUAGCUCAGUCUCCCUGAAACUGCGACUUGGUGUAUUAAAUUAGGUAGUACGUUAUUUGUUUCGUGAAGAAAUGGCGCGUUCGGAGAAGAGUAAUUUGGAUGUGUUCGUUCGUCACAACGGUCAACAACUCGCCUUCACUUUUCAAAGGGCUUGAAAGCAGUCCUGUUCUGCAUGAGAUGUUUCUACAGGAGACCAUGUUGGUGGAUGGGACUUGA
RNAcentral lists this long non-coding RNA (340 nucleotides) under Scleropages formosus (Asian bonytongue). RNAcentral's name for it is "lncRNA (ENSSFOG00015031935.1)". The record is from RNAcentral. Lineage: Eukaryota; Metazoa; Chordata; Actinopteri; Osteoglossiformes; Osteoglossidae.